GACGAACGCUGGCGGCGUGCCUAACACAUGCAAGUCGAACGGAAAGGCUCUAGCUUGCUGGAGUGCUCGAGUGGCGAACGGGGGCGUAACACGUGUGCAACCUGCCCUGCACUCUGGGAUAAGCCAGGGUAACUGGGUCUAAUACCGGAUAGGACCUUUCUCCUCGUGGGGUUUGGGGGAACGUUGUUCGGUGCAGGAUGGUCUCGCGGGCUAUCAGCUUGUUGGGGGGGUAAUGGCCUACCAAGGCGAGGCGGGGUAGCCGACCUGGGAGGGGGGUCGGCCACAUUGGGACUGAGAUACGGCCCAGACUCCAACGGGAGGCAGCGGUGGGGAAUAUUGCACAGUGGGCGAAAGCCUGAUGCGGCGACGCCGCGUGAGGGAUGACGGCCUUCGGGUUGUAAACCUCUUUCAGUAGGGACGAAGCGCAAGUGACGGUACCUGCAGAAGAAGCACCGGCUAACUACGUG
Molecule: ribosomal RNA, 467 nt
Filed under: uncultured bacterium
Lineage: Bacteria
Description: partial 16S ribosomal RNA
Rfam family: Bacterial small subunit ribosomal RNA
Source: RNAcentral